GACGAACGCUGGCGGCGUGCUUAACACAUGCAAGUCGUACGGUAAGGCCCUUUCGGGGGUACACGAGUGGCGAACGGGUGAGUAACACGUGAGUAACCUGCCCACAACUUUGGGAUAACGCUAGGAAACUGGUGCUAAUACUGGAUAUGUGCUCCUGCUGCAUGGUGGGGGUUGGAAAGCUCCGGCGGUUGUGGAUGGACUCGCGGCCUAUCAGCUUGUUGGUGGGGUAGUGGCCUACCAAGGCGGCGACGGGUAGCCGGCCUGAGAGGGUGACCGGCCACAUUGGGACGGAGAUACGGCCCAGACCCCUAAGGGAGGCAGCAGUGGGGAAUAUUGCACAAUGGGCGCAAGCCUGAUGCAGCAACGCCGCGUGCGGGAUGACGGCCUUCGGGUUGUAAACCGCUUUCAGCAGGGACGAAGCUUUUUGUGACGGUACCUGCAGAAGAAGCACCGGCUAACUACGUG
This 465-nucleotide ribosomal RNA is filed under the name uncultured bacterium. RNAcentral's name for it is "partial 16S ribosomal RNA". It matches the Rfam family "Bacterial small subunit ribosomal RNA", at positions 28 to 507 of the family's 1533-position model. The record is from RNAcentral.